This 219-nucleotide unclassified non-coding RNA is filed under the name plant metagenome. Its description in RNAcentral is "partial contains small subunit ribosomal RNA, internal transcribed spacer 1, and 5.8S ribosomal RNA". The record is from RNAcentral.
UUUCCGUAGGUGAACCUGCGGAAGGAUCAUUACAGAGUUCAUGCCCUCACGGGUAGAUCUCCCACCCUUGAAUAUUUAUACCUUAGUUGCUUUGGCAGGCCGUGGAAACACCAUGGGCUCCGGCUUAUGCGUGCCUGCCAGAGGAAACAACUCUGUUUUUAGUGAUGUCUGAGUACUAUAUAAUAGUUAAAACUUUCAACAACGGAUCUCUUGGUUCUG